Molecule: ribosomal RNA, 232 nt
Filed under: Gambierdiscus australes
Lineage: Eukaryota; Dinophyceae; Gonyaulacales; Pyrocystaceae
Description: partial Bacterial small subunit ribosomal RNA
Rfam family: Bacterial small subunit ribosomal RNA
Source: RNAcentral
CAUGCCGCGUGUGUGAAGAAGGCCCUAGGGUUGUAAAGUCCUUUCGUUGGUGAAGAUAAUGACGGUAACCAAAGAAGAAGCCCCGGCUAAUUUCGUGCCAGCAGCCGCGGUAAUACGAAGGGGGCUAGCGUUGUUCGGAAUUACUGGGCGUAAAGCGCGCGUAGGCGGAUUGGAAAGUUGGGGGUGAAAUCCCGGGGCUCAACCCCGGAACUGCCUUUAAAACUACAUGGCU